Molecule: long non-coding RNA, 575 nt
Filed under: Carica papaya (papaya)
Lineage: Eukaryota; Viridiplantae; Streptophyta; Magnoliopsida; Brassicales; Caricaceae
Description: long non-coding RNA (CPAP_LNC005786)
Source: RNAcentral
AAUUAGUCGAGUAUUGACUUGGUUAAUUAAUUAGCUCUGUGUGCGUGUAUAAAUUAAGAUGGAAAGGAUAGGAUGAUUAGGGUAAGUAUAGUGAUUAGUAGAAGAAUAUUAAAGAUGGCAAGGACCCUGCCAGUUGGCGGGGAGGAGGCCGGUAUGAUUUCUGGCGGCGGGCUUAAUCUGUUUCUGGUUUUCCAAGUCUUGGUGGGGUUCUGGAUCUUAUCCGCAGUUGUUUUCGCCUGUGCAGAUGGCCAUGGAAACCACCUCGCCAAGAAGAAGCACUCAACUAGCGGCGGCUGUGGUGGCGGAGGUUGCGGUGGCGGCGGCUGCGGUGGUUGUGGUGGUUAAUUCACUUCCAACGAACUACUGCAUGUAUCUACAUAUAUUGUAUACAUAAAAUAGUCGUGUGUGUGUGUGUAUAUGUAUUAAAAUAAAAUCAUCUCCUUCCUUUAAUGCAAGAGUUGUGUAUGAUGUGUGUACUUUUGUUAAGAAAUUUAUGUAAUUCAUAAUUUGUAAUUUAAAAUAACAUCUUUUUAAUUAAAUAAUACAUAUAUACUAAUCAUAAUUAUUAAUUAAGC